UAGUAUAAGUCACGUAUGGUUGGAUUCCUGUAGAAGUAAGAGGUCUAGCAAUCUGUGGCCAGACUAUCCGAGUAGAUGACAUUAAUCAAUUAAUACUAUGAAGCUGGAUAUGCUUUAAAGGACUCUUUUACAGAAGGCAAAACCUCGAAGCAGUAGUUAUCUGUUCGGUUUUACAGGUGAACAACAAUUAGCAACUUCCGAUCGAAAUGCACACAACAACCACCCACAAUCACAGCUGAAAAAAGUAACAGCAAGGAAAUCAAGUUUGUACACAGAAAUCUGCACUAAAAUUGGGUUUUAUAAGCGCAAGAAAAGCGACGCGGC
Molecule: long non-coding RNA, 324 nt
Organism: Anopheles merus
Lineage: Eukaryota; Metazoa; Arthropoda; Insecta; Diptera; Culicidae
Exons: 3
Source: RefSeq, a predicted model, not a curated record